AACAUUAACACCCAGCAACCAGGAGAGGAGAGAGGCCUGGGGAAGACAGCCACCACCAAGUACACAAAGGUUGAAAGAGGACGUUUGUGGGAAGUAGACAUUUGUGAAUGUGGAUUUAGAAGAUUUUUCCCUGUGAUGAGCUGAGUCAUGGGUGAGAGCUGGAGAAAACAGAGUCUUCUCAAUGCGAAGAUGAUGAGAAUGGAGACUUUUAUGAUGAUCCACUUC
This 225-nucleotide long non-coding RNA is filed under the name Homo sapiens (human). RNAcentral's name for it is "HSALNT0375151". The record is from RNAcentral. Lineage: Eukaryota; Metazoa; Chordata; Mammalia; Primates; Hominidae.